This 315-nucleotide unclassified non-coding RNA is filed under the name plant metagenome. RNAcentral's name for it is "partial contains 5.8S ribosomal RNA, internal transcribed spacer 2, and large subunit ribosomal RNA". The stretch from base 1 to 105 matches the Rfam family "5.8S ribosomal RNA", at positions 50 to 154 of the family's 154-position model. The record is from RNAcentral.
GAACUGCGAUAAGUAAUGUGAAUUGCAGAAUUCAGUGAAUCAUCGAGUCUUUGAACGCACAUUGCGCCCCCAGGCAUUCCGGGGGGCAUGCCUGUCCGAGCGUCAUUGCUGCCCUUCAAGCCCGGCUUGUGUGUUGGGUCGUCGUCCCCUCCGGGGGACGGGCCCGAAAGGCAGCGGCGGCACCGCGUCCGGUCCUCGAGCGUAUGGGGCUUUGUCACCCGCUCGAUAAGGACCGGCCGGGCGCCAGCCGGCGUCUCCAACCUUUUUUUCUCAGGUUGACCUCGGAUCAGGUAGGGAUACCCGCUGAACUUAAGC